Molecule: long non-coding RNA, 447 nt
Organism: Engraulis encrasicolus (European anchovy)
Lineage: Eukaryota; Metazoa; Chordata; Actinopteri; Clupeiformes; Engraulidae
Exons: 3
Source: RefSeq, a predicted model, not a curated record
CCGACAUCGGACCACUGACGGUUACAAAACACACAAGGCAUCGGUGGAUUUUGGUUGGCAAUCCGACAUAGUGCACGAGUACUCUGCAGGGUCCAAACAGCGGCAUGCUACCUGACAAUCCACCUACGUGAGAGCCAGGUUACAUGCUACCAGCCCCUAGCACCAAGGAGGACCGGCUACUCAUUUGGUGCCAGCAUCGUUUGCAUCAGAUAAAUCACAACAAAGAUAUGGUGACCCAAGACCCACGGUUAUAUAAGGGUGGGGAUGUGAAAUGACUGAGAACCUAUUAUCAAGGUAAAUAGGACCCUUGCUGACCUCACCUGUACCUGUGGCCUCGGAAGGUAUCCAAUGUUACAGGUUUGAAUUCUUAGUAAGAGUAACUGAAAAGUAUAUGUGCUGUCCUGCACCACUAUCCACCUAAACCUACAUUAAUUUCUCAAGAGACUG